GUGACGUAGGGAGCCGCUCCCCAGGGAUGCGCCCUGCGAGACCUGGGCUGCCCUUGCUCCUAGCCGCUGUCCCGCGACCCUGCGCGCCGCACCCCAGGUCAUCUUUGUUAUGAACCGUUCUGUCCGUCCCCGUCUUGGGACAUGACCCAGGAGACCAGCCAAGAAAAUGAGGGCGGGGAACAGCGGCUGGAAUCCGGGAAAGCCGCCACCCCUCUGCUGCUCUGGGACGGGCGGCCUCCUGGCCACGAUGGAUCUAAGAGUGCUUCAACGAGUUUGCAAAAUGAAGUUUAGGAAACAUUGGCUGGUGUGUUGAAAUAUUCUACCGUUUAUGCUGUAAUGACCACCGCAGGAACGGUCUUCUAAUGCGGCAUGAGGCAAGGAGAAAGAGAUUGGGGGCAAGAUACACCCUCCAAAGCCACGCCUCCAAUGACAUAAUCCAUCCGUGAAGUCAGUGUCUGUGAGCUGCUUACCUCUACACUACACUACACUACACUACACUACACUACACUACACUACACUACACCAGCUGGGAACCACGUGGCCAAGCGUGCACUCUCAGUGCUUCCUGUCCACGCCAUAAUAAACGUGUUUCUCAUCUCUAGAGGUGAACCAUCUAGACCCCUAGAUAAGUCUCAUCUUUUCUUAGCGGCUCUGGAUCCUAAAACCCUUUCCUUCUAACAGAAGGGUAUGCGAGCAGCCGUUGUUGUCUGUCUCUGAGAUUUUAACUUUGCUUCACUCGCCUGGCUCAUCUCCAUCACAAUUUAAAUACGAUACUAAUUUUUCGGCCUUCAAAACAAAAUGUUCUGCAUCUUUCUUCCUCAUAGAGUUGUGUAGUCUCACCAUCACUUUCUCUUACCCUACUCUCAAUCGGGCCACUUUGCACCCCUCAAACGGUUCUCCUCAGUGCCACCCAAGUCUUUCUUGCACAGCAUUGGCACUCACAUCCUCUGGGCAGCCUCAGUCCUAUUACUAUCUGUCGCUGUCAAUUGAAAAACGAAGCUUGAAGAAAGAUGCCGUCAUGAGCUAGGAGAGCUUCAUUCUACAAAGGGAGACUGUGAUAAGAAGGGCUCGGCUCCCUCAGUAUGUUGCUUGCCUUCUUUCUUGCGUUAAGAUCCCUUCAAUGCAAGCUGCUUGACGCUCUCAAGUAACUUCUCAGUCGCAUUCUGAGGCUGGCCAGACAUGGCUACUCGAUCUUCGAUCUUCAGAUUCCAAGCUGUGUGCUAGAUAAACCUCGGUAGCUCUAAAGUAGCCCAGUUUUAAACGCAAAGGAAUCUAGGACAUCAAUUGUAUGCUUGCAUGCAUGUAAGGCUCCCUCGGUCUCCGUUUUGUUUCCUGUUUCUGGGUUAAAACACCCUGAUGGGGCUGGUGAGAUGGCUCAGUGGGUAAGAGCACCCGACUGCUCCUCCGAAAGUCCGAAGUUCAAAUCCCAGCAACCACAUGGUGGCUUACAACCAUCCGUAAUGAGAUCUGACUCCCUCUUCUGGAGUAUCUGAGGAUAGCUACAGUGUACUUACAUGUAAUAAAUAAAUAAAUCUUUAAAAAAAAAAUAAAAAAAAAAACACCCUGAUGAAAGCA
Molecule: long non-coding RNA, 1575 nt
Filed under: Mus musculus (house mouse)
Lineage: Eukaryota; Metazoa; Chordata; Mammalia; Rodentia; Muridae
Description: predicted gene, 38500, transcript variant 2 (Gm38500)
Source: RNAcentral